GAACGCUAGCGACAGGCCUAACACAUGCAAGUCGAGGGGCAGCACAAGGAGCAAGUCUGAGGUGGCGACCGGCGCACGGGUGAGUAACACGUAUGCAACCUGCCUGUAAGCGGGGAAUAACCCGUUGAAAGACGGACUAAUACCGCAUAAUACUAAAUUACUGCAUGGUAAUUUAUUUAAACAUUUAUGGCUUACAGAUGGGCAUGCGCAUGAUUAGCUAGUUGGAGAGGUAACGGCUCCCCAAGGCAACGAUCAUUAGGGGUUCUGAGAGGAAGGUCCCCCCACACUGGUACUGAGACACGGACCAGACUCCUACGGGAGGCAGCAGUGAGGAAUAUUGGUCAAUGGACGAGAGUCUGAACCAGCCAAGUCGCGUGCAGGAAGAAUGUCCUAUGGAUUGUAAACUGCUUUUGCAGGGGAAUAAAGUGCAUCACGUGUGAUGUUUUGUAUGUACUCUGCGAAUAAGGAUCGGCUAACUCCGUGCCAGCCGCCGC
This 494-nucleotide ribosomal RNA is filed under the name uncultured bacterium. Its description in RNAcentral is "bacterial SSU rRNA". It matches the Rfam family "Bacterial small subunit ribosomal RNA", at positions 31 to 518 of the family's 1533-position model. The record is from RNAcentral.